Molecule: long non-coding RNA, 943 nt
Organism: Lolium rigidum
Lineage: Eukaryota; Viridiplantae; Streptophyta; Magnoliopsida; Poales; Poaceae
Exons: 2
Source: RefSeq, a predicted model, not a curated record
AAGCAUCAGUCCUCUUAUUUUCUGUCCUCUAUGAAAGAAUGUAGCUCGCUCUUUCAACCCGGGGCCCCCUCUGGGGAACUGUUUGAGUUUUAGCAUCGACCCCAUUUCCUUUUGAUCGUAUUACGCUUGACUCGCUGCAAAACAUUUCGCUUUCUGCGCUCGAAUGCUUCAGGUUUUAUAUAUUGUGACAUUGAACAAUGGAAAUGGAAAUUUUGUUUUGUGAGGAUCUGGUUGGAGCCUUUGUUGUCAAGUUUAUAAGCAGGCUAAAGAUGGCUCUUGGUUGACGGUGCAAUUUUAUUGUCGCAUUGAGAUCCCUGAGCUACAACAAGCUGGGGCCAAGGCCGGAGGAAGAAACAAGGUUCUUCUUAUGGCUGCUCCUUCAAAACGGACUUUGGACUGCCGAUUGUUUGAGGAACAGGAGAUGGAAUCACAACAAUAACUGCUGCCUGUGUGGCCAAGCUCUCGAAGAUGCCAAUCAUCUCUUCCUUUCGUGCCCUUUUUUGAAGGAGGUCUGUUGUAUAGUGUUGUCCACUGAGCUAUGUCAGUUCAGGCUGAACUUAUUGAAGGUUCUACUCUGGUGGAACAAUUUGCAAAGGGAUGUACCUGCUAAUUGGAGAAAGGAGUUUGCACUUAUUCCUUGUGGAUCAUUUGGAAUGAAAGGAACUGCUGUAUUUUUCAGCAAGAGUUUCUUGCCCACCUUGGUUGCGGUCAGGAUCAGAGAAGAGCUUGACUUAUUUAGUGCAGCGCCUAGGGUUUAAUUUCUUUUCAUUGACCCCCUUUUUUGUUGCUUGGCCUAGGCCUGUGUAGAUAACUUUGUUCUCUCUCUCUCUCUCUUCUCUAUGAAGUAUAAAGCGGUGCUCCUGCUGUUAAGGUAAAAAGGCAUUACAUCCAACAUAUGUUUCUUUCAGCUCAAAGAUAAUUACAUCCAAAUGUUAUAUGCUUC